This 404-nucleotide ribosomal RNA is filed under the name uncultured bacterium. RNAcentral's name for it is "bacterial SSU rRNA". It matches the Rfam family "Bacterial small subunit ribosomal RNA", at positions 355 to 776 of the family's 1533-position model. The record is from RNAcentral.
UGGGGAAUAUUGCACAAUGGGGGAAACCCUGAUGCAGCGACGCCGCGUGAAGGAUGAAGUAUUUCGGUAUGUAAACUUCUAUCAGCGGGGAAGAAAAUGACGGUACCUGACUAAGAAGCCCCGGCUAACUACGUGCCAGCAGCCGCGGUAAUACGUAGGGGGCAAGCGUUAUCCGGAUUUACUGGGUGUAAAGGGAGCGUAGACGGUAUGGCAAGUCUGAUGUGAAAACCCGGGGCUCAACCCCGGGACUGCAUUGGAAACUGUCGGACUAGAGUGUCGGAGAGGCAAGUGGAAUUCCUAGUGUAGCGGUGAAAUGCGUAGAUAUUAGGAGGAACACCAGUGGCGAAGGCGGCUUGCUGGACGAUGACUGACGUUGAGGCUCGAAAGCGUGGGGAGCAAACAGG